GAAAUGCGAUAAGUAGUGUGAAUUGCAGAAUUCAGUGAAUCAUCGAAUCUUUGAACGCACAUUGCGCCCCUUUGUAUUCCAUGGGGCAUGCCUGUUCGAGCGUCAUUUGUACCCUCAAGCUCUGCUUGGUGUUGGGUGUUUGUCCCGUCUCCGCGCGUGGACUCGCCCCAAAGUGAUUGGCAGCCGGCGUACUGGUCCCGGAGCGCAGCACAUGUCGCGCAAACGAGUGCCUUGGUACGGCGGCGUCCAUAAGCCCCUCUCUCACGCUCUUGACCUCGGAUCAGGUAGGGAUACCCGCUGAACUUAAGC
RNAcentral lists this unclassified non-coding RNA (309 nucleotides) under plant metagenome. RNAcentral describes it as "partial contains 5.8S ribosomal RNA, internal transcribed spacer 2, and large subunit ribosomal RNA". The stretch from base 1 to 105 matches the Rfam family "5.8S ribosomal RNA", at positions 50 to 154 of the family's 154-position model. The record is from RNAcentral.